Molecule: transfer RNA, 87 nt
Filed under: Reticulomyxa filosa
Lineage: Eukaryota; Foraminifera; Reticulomyxidae
Rfam family: tRNA
About the family: Transfer RNA (tRNA) molecules are approximately 80 nucleotides in length.
Source: Rfam by way of RNAcentral
GGAUGGGUGGCCGAGCGGUUUAAGGCACCGGUCUUGAAAACCGACGUGCGCGCAAGUGUACCGUGGGUUCGAAUCCCACCCCAUCCG